Molecule: ribosomal RNA, 383 nt
Filed under: uncultured eukaryote
Lineage: Eukaryota
Description: partial 18S ribosomal RNA
Rfam family: Eukaryotic small subunit ribosomal RNA
Source: RNAcentral
CAAUAGCGUACAUUAAAGUUGUUGCAGUUAAAAAGCUCGUAGUUGGAUUUCUGGUAGGAGUGACCGUUCCGAACUUGAUUGUUCGUGUAUUGUGUUUUCUCCAGCCAUCCUUGUGGAGAACUUUUCUUGCAUUAAUUUGUAGGGAUUGGGACCCGCAUCGUUUACUGUGAAAAAAUUAGAGUGUUUAAAGCAGGCAAUCGCUUGAAUACACUAGCAUGGAAUAAUAAGAUAGGACUUUGGUACUAUUUUGUUGGUUUGCAUACCAAAUUAAUGAUCAACAGGAACAGUUUGAGGAUAUUCGUAUGAACAUGUCAGAGGUGAAAUUCUUGGAUUUUGAUCAGACGAACUACUGCGAAAGCAUUUAUCAAGGAUGUUUUCAUUAA